This 301-nucleotide ribosomal RNA is filed under the name uncultured bacterium. RNAcentral describes it as "partial 16S ribosomal RNA". It matches the Rfam family "Bacterial small subunit ribosomal RNA", at positions 512 to 809 of the family's 1533-position model. The record is from RNAcentral.
CAGUCGCCGGGUAAUACGUAGGUCCCGAGCGUUGUCCGGAUUUAAUGGGCGUAAAGCGAGCGCAGGCGGUUUGAUAAGUCUGAAGUUAAAGGCUGUGGCUCAACCAUAGUUCGCUUUGGAAACCGUCAAACUUGAGUGCAGAAGGGGAGAGUGGAAUUCCAUGUGUAGCGGUGAAAUGCGUAGAUAUAUGGAGGAGCACCGGUGGCGAAAGCGGCUCUCUGGUCUGUAACUGACGCUGAGGCUCGAAAGCGUGGGGAGCGAACAGGAUUAGAUACCCCUGUAGUCCCUGUCUCUUAUACAC